Molecule: long non-coding RNA, 623 nt
Organism: Capsicum annuum
Lineage: Eukaryota; Viridiplantae; Streptophyta; Magnoliopsida; Solanales; Solanaceae
Exons: 4
Source: RefSeq, a predicted model, not a curated record
UAUCAGCAAUUUUUCUCAUUUUAACUUAGACAAAAUUUCCAGCUUUCUAGGUUUUUCACUCUUGUUCUCUCUUGGCUAAACAACCCUAUAAUUCCACAAGGGUUCCUGGGAUUUACCUUCCUUCCAAGCUAAAGGGAUUAAGCUAUUGAGGAAAUACACAUUAAGACACUAAAAUACCAAGGAAAUAAAGAUAAGUAAUCUAAAAGUGCGGGAAGUCGAGUUGGGAUGGUAUUGGAGUUUUACAACCAGGCACAGGUGCUUCGGCAAACACGCCUCCUCAGUAGGAGCCCAGGAUAUCCAUCUGCUAUUGGUGAGCUCCAGUUUGCUUCGGGGCUUUCCAAGUCAGUUCCAUAUAUUUUUGGUAUUAUAUAAAAGUUGAUAGUAUGACGGGGGUUUGUCCCAGCCUUAGCUAAAUUUUGUGUAUCGUCUUGAGGCUUUGUAGACCAAUGUAAAGUUAAGCAUGGUAGUGUGUUAUCGUGUAGAUGUUAUGGCCCCAACGGCCUAGUCUAUUAUGUAUAUAGUUUUAGGGCUUGUCGUUUAUAUUUUUUUUUCAUUAAGGCAUUAAUCCAUAUAUGGAAAAACCUUUGCCUAUUAUAGUAGCAUGCAUGUGAAUUCCAAGGUUA